UACAGAGGUCUCAAGCGUUGUUCGGAUUCAUUGGGCGUAAAGGGUGCGUAGGCGGCGCGGUAAGUCGGGUGUGAAAUCUUGGAGCUUAACUCCGAAACUGCAUUCGAUACUGCCGUGCUUGAGGACUGGAGAGGAGACUGGAAUUCCCGGUGUAGCGGUGAAAUGCGCAGAUAUCGGGAGGAACACCGGUGGCGAAGGCGGCUCUCUGGACCGAUACUGACGCUGAGGCGCGAAAGCGUGGGGAGCAAACAGG
This 253-nucleotide ribosomal RNA is filed under the name uncultured bacterium. RNAcentral's name for it is "partial 16S ribosomal RNA". It matches the Rfam family "Bacterial small subunit ribosomal RNA", at positions 524 to 776 of the family's 1533-position model. The record is from RNAcentral.